GGUUGCUUGGUGUAAUGGUUAGCACAUCAGAUUCUGAUUCUGGGGAUAUUGGUUCGAUUCCUAUAGCGACCU
Non-coding RNA from Leptodontidium sp. 2 PMI_412, 72 nucleotides. The record is from the annotation of a GenBank genome assembly. NCBI's taxonomy places the organism in Eukaryota, Fungi, Ascomycota, Leotiomycetes, Helotiales, Leptodontidiaceae.